CGGGAAACCGGAGCUAAUACCGGAUAAUAUAUUGAACCGCAUGGUUCAAUAGUGAAAGACGGUUUUGCUGUCACUUAUAGAUGGAUCCGCGCCGCAUUAGCUAGUUGGUAAGGUAACGGCUUACCAAGGCAGCGAUGCGUAGCCGACCUGAGAGGGUGAUCGGCCACACUGGAACUGAGACACGGUCCAGACUCCUACGGGAGGCAGCAGCCC
Molecule: ribosomal RNA, 213 nt
Filed under: uncultured Staphylococcus sp.
Lineage: Bacteria; Bacillati; Bacillota; Bacilli; Caryophanales; Staphylococcaceae
Description: partial 16S ribosomal RNA
Rfam family: Bacterial small subunit ribosomal RNA
Source: RNAcentral